Molecule: RNA transcript, 1125 nt
Organism: Clupea harengus (Atlantic herring)
Lineage: Eukaryota; Metazoa; Chordata; Actinopteri; Clupeiformes; Clupeidae
Gene: rps24
Gene name: ribosomal protein S24
Exons: 6
Source: RefSeq, a predicted model, not a curated record
CUCGCUAUUUUUACUCAGGCAAAUCGUAAGCCGCUCUUACCUCCAUUCAGGCAUUUCAUUGGCCGAUUCGAGGUCCUCCUUCCUUUUCCACAUCUCUGAGCGAGCCGACGCCAAGAUGAACGACUCAGUCACAAUCAGGACACGGAAGUUUAUGACAAACCGCUUGCUUCAGAGGAAGCAAAUGGUUGUCGAUGUCCUCCAUCCAGGCAAAGCAACAGUCCCCAAGACUGAAAUCAGGGAGAAGCUUGCCAAACUCUACAAGACCACCCCUGAUGUAGUGUUCGUCUUCGGCUUCAAGACUCAGUUUGGUGGUGGCAAGACGACCGGCUUUGCCAUGGUCUACGACUCAUUGGACUACGCCAAGAAGAAUGAGCCCAAAUACAGACUGCAGAGGCACGGGCUGUACGAGAAAAAGAAGACAUCCAGAAAACAGCGCAAGGAACGCAAGAACAGAAUGAAGAAGGUCAGGGGAACCAAAAAAGCCUCUGUUGGUGCUGCUGGCAAGAAGAAGGUAAAUGGUGUUAUGAGUGGAGUAACUACUUUCCACAGAUAUAUUGGGGUGAUGUCCCACGCUAACGAUCCCCAAACACCACCCUUAUUAACCCUAGCUAUUGACUACCUGUCAAUCAGAUCUGCCCUUAUUGUGGUCAGAUCUGCUUUAAUCGUUGUGCAGUGCCAAGAUUCUCAUAACACUGCUCUUAAUAGAGCUAUUCAGUUGUGUUUACUGUACUGCUUCCAUAGACCAGCUGUAGUGGGCAAGGCUUGACUCUUCAUGCUAGAUGAGGAUCUCUGUAGAGUGCCCACUAGAUUCACUCAGCCUUAAGAGUUGUUCUCUGAGUAGGUCGUGUCCAAAAUGUAAAGGGUCACGUUCAGGUUGAACAUGAUUGGCAUGAAGAGUAACUAGCCAUCCUGACCUCGGUUGCCUCAGAGAGCAGCUCCUAAGACUGCUUUAAAACUGUCGAUUCAAAUGCUUAAUCAUUUUUCCCCAUCUUUUUGCCUUUUAUUUUGCCUCCUGUGGACGUGGUCAGAAAUGAGGUGUCUUUCCAGUGAGACCGUCAGGGGAGGCCUUCAUCCUGAAGAUGUUCUUGUAUAUUGUCAACGAAUAAAAAUGAUAAAAUUUCAUAA